Molecule: ribosomal RNA, 377 nt
Filed under: uncultured organism
Description: partial 16S ribosomal RNA
Rfam family: Bacterial small subunit ribosomal RNA
Source: RNAcentral
GUAGGUGGCAAGCGUUGUCCGGAAUUAUUGGGCGUAAAGCGCGCGCAGGCGGUUCUUUUAAGUCUGAUGUGAAAAGCCCCACGGGCUCAACCGUGGGAGGGUCAUUGGAAACUGGAGAACUUGAGUACAGAAGAGGAAAGCGGAAUUCCACGUGUAGCGGUGAAAUGCGUAGAGAUGUGGAGGAACACCAGUGGCGAAGGCGGCUUUCUGGUCUGUAACUGACGCUGAGGCGCGAAAGCGUGGGGAGCAAACAGGAUUAGAUACCCUGGUAGUCCACGCCGUAAACGAUGAGUGCUAAGUGUUAGGGGGUUUCCGCCCCUUAGUGCUGCAGCUAACGCAUUAAGCACUCCGCCUGGGGAGUACGGCCGCAAAGGCUG